Molecule: ribosomal RNA, 253 nt
Filed under: uncultured bacterium
Lineage: Bacteria
Description: partial 16S ribosomal RNA
Rfam family: Bacterial small subunit ribosomal RNA
Source: RNAcentral
UACGUAGGGCGCAAGCGUUGUCCGGAAUUAUUGGGCGUAAAGAGCUCGUAGGCGGUUUGUCGCGUCUGCUGUGAAAGACCGGGGCUCAACUCCGGUUCUGCAGUGGGUACGGGCAGACUAGAGUGAUGUAGGGGAGACUGGAAUUCCUGGUGUAGCGGUGAAAUGCGCAGAUAUCAGGAGGAACACCGGUGGCGAAGGCGGGUCUCUGGGCCGAUACUGACGCUGAGGAGCGAAAGCGUGGGGAGCAAACGGG